RNAcentral lists this ribosomal RNA (300 nucleotides) under uncultured bacterium. RNAcentral's name for it is "bacterial SSU rRNA". It matches the Rfam family "Bacterial small subunit ribosomal RNA", at positions 334 to 651 of the family's 1533-position model. The record is from RNAcentral.
GUUUCCUACGGGGCGCAGCAGUGGGGAAUAUUGCACAAUGGAGGGAACUCUGAUGCAGCGACGCCGCGUGAGUGAAGAAGUAAUUCGUUAUGUAAAGCUCUAUCAGCAGGGAAGAAAGUGACGGUACCUGACUAAGAAGCCCCGGCUAACUACGUGCCAGCAGCCGCGGUAAUACGUAGGGGGCAAGCGUUAUCCGGAUUUACUGGGUGUAAAGGGAGCGUAGACGGCAGCGCAAGUCUGGAGUGAAAUGCCGGGGCCCAACCCCGGAACUGCUUUGGAACCUGUGCGGCUCGAGUGCGG